GUAGUCCACGCCGUAAACUAUGAAUACUAGCUGUAUGCCGUAUCGACCCGGUAUGUAGCGAAGCUAACGCGUUAAGUAUUCCGCCUGGGGAGUACGGUCGCAAGACUAAAACUCAAAGGAAUUGACGGGGACCCGCACAAGCGGUGGAGCGUGUUGUUUAAUUCGAUGGUAAGCGAAGAACCUUACCAAGGUUUGACAUCCUAGGAAUUUUGGUGAAAGCCGAGAGUGCCUUCGGGAACCUAGUGACAGGUGUUGCAUGGCCGUCGUCAGCUCGUGUCGUGAGAUGUUUGGUUAAGUCCAUCAACGAGCGCAACCCUUAUGGUUAGUUGUAUUUUUCUAGCCAGACUGCCCCGGUAACGGGGAGGAAGGGGGGGAUGAUGUCAGGUCAGUAUUACCCUUACACCUUGGGCAACAAACGCGCUACAAUGGCCGGUACAACGGGCUGCCAAGUCGUGAGACGGAGCAAAUCCCAUCAAAGCCGGUCCCAGUUCGGAUUGUAGGCUGAAACUCGCCUACAUGAAGCCGGAAUCGCUAGUAAUCGCAGAUCAGAAUGCUGCGGUGAAUACGUUCCCGGGUCUUGUACACACCGCCCGUCAAACCAUGAAAGUGGGGGGCACCCGAAGUCUGACUUUUGUCGGCCUAAGGUGAACCACAUGAUUGGGGUU
RNAcentral lists this ribosomal RNA (665 nucleotides) under uncultured bacterium. RNAcentral's name for it is "bacterial SSU rRNA". It matches the Rfam family "Bacterial small subunit ribosomal RNA", at positions 790 to 1482 of the family's 1533-position model. The record is from RNAcentral.